AGAGGCGUGUGUCUGCCUCCUCCCGCACCUGCUGCAGGGUCCUUGGCCUCCCAGAACCUUCUGGGUGCAGGGGAAGCUGGGGUGGAAACAGAGGAGGGGUAGGUGGGUCCUCCGCACCCACCUGGGUGCAGUGGGCACGUGGGCUGAGCUGCGGGAGGGAGCAAAGGCGAGACCCAGGGAGAAGGACAGAGGUGGGGAUGGAGACCCAGAGGGAGUAGCCGGCCUGCCCCCAGCCUCACGGAGAACUCCCGCCUAGGAAUACCGAGGCGCCGGGAGGGACAGAUGCGGAGGGCCUUAUGGAAGCGCAGAGCAGGGGACCCGGCCUGGCUUUGCGAGACUUCUCCACCGGCGUCCCGGAACACAGCCCCUCCUAGCGGGGUCUCCAGGACGGAGGAGGAGAAAGUAACGACCGGCCGGGACCAGUCCAGGUCGCUCCCAGGUGCCUCCCUCACAGAAGUGCCCCGGGGAGCUGGUGUCAUCUUAGAGAAAGUCCUUGGAGACAGAUUCUUUUACAGCCUGUUUGGGCUCACAGGGAAGCAAAUAUUCUUUGCGUGCGAAGGCAAGAGCAGGAAGCAUGAGAGAUGCUGAUUCCUGCCGUGUGACCGAGGGGGUGAGGGUUCCAGGAUCACGCCCCGCUCCGCCCUGGAACGGCAUGUCCCUCGGAGCCAGAGGGUGCAGGUGGCCACCUCCCACUGUCAGCUGCCCAAGGGGAAGGAGUCUGAGGCCCCCGCUGCUAGCAGAGCGGGCCCCAGUCCCCUCGGGUCACACAUCCAUGUCCUCGGCAUUUGUACCUCUGCCCGCCUGGUGAUGCAGAAGCCCACAGCCCCUGCAACCAGGACAAAUGAAGAUUUGGGGGUGGAGAAGCGAGCAGCCAAUCAUUAACUUUAUGGAGAACUGCUUGUGAGAAGCCGCAGGAGCCAGUGGCCGGCUGCGGCUGGAAACGCAGAAGCAGCUUCCCCAGAGGGUCCCAGCAUACACGGGGGGACUUGCUCACGAUUGCCUCACGGGAAAGCUAAGAAAUACUAAUUCUUAAUCUUUUUUUUAAUCUAUUUGGUGUUUUCCUGGGAAUAAUAAACAGAAGACUGCCACUAGUUAAAAAUA
Molecule: long non-coding RNA, 1101 nt
Organism: Phyllostomus hastatus (greater spear-nosed bat)
Lineage: Eukaryota; Metazoa; Chordata; Mammalia; Chiroptera; Phyllostomidae
Exons: 6
Source: RefSeq, a predicted model, not a curated record